CGCAGCCCUGGGGCAGGGGAAGGGUUUGUGCUGGGGGUGACGCUGCCAAUGGCUUCUCUGCAGGGAUUUCACUGGGAACGCGCUCGCCCUCAUCCCCCCGCAGGCCUGGCAGGGAUACCCGUGGGCUGAGAAGCUAGUCCUCCAGCACAACAACCUGCGGGCAGUGAAGAGGCGCUCGCUGGAGGGGCUGCUCCUGCUGAGGCACCUGGAUUUAUCUUACAACAAAAUCCAGCUGAUCGAGGCGUGUGCUUUUGAGAACCUUCCUUUCCUGGAGACCAUGUGAGUUAUGGGAGUUCCUUCCUGGUGUGGUUGGUGAAGCCUGUUUGCAUUUAGAACCUUCUGGUGAUGGAAAAAACUCCUGUUAUUCUUAGAACAAGGCCUCCAGUUUCUCCUGCUGAAGGAGCAGCCCAGCUCCGGAGCUCAGGGCAUGGCUGGUGGCCACACCAGG
Molecule: long non-coding RNA, 448 nt
Organism: Neopsephotus bourkii (Bourke's parrot)
Lineage: Eukaryota; Metazoa; Chordata; Aves; Psittaciformes; Psittacidae
Exons: 3
Source: RefSeq, a predicted model, not a curated record